This 497-nucleotide ribosomal RNA is filed under the name uncultured bacterium. Its description in RNAcentral is "partial 16S ribosomal RNA". It matches the Rfam family "Bacterial small subunit ribosomal RNA", at positions 28 to 507 of the family's 1533-position model. The record is from RNAcentral.
GAUGAACGCUGGCGGCGUGCCUAAUACAUGCAAGUCGAGCGAACAGAUGAGGAGCUUGCUCCUCUGACGUUAGCGGCGGACGGGUGAGUAAAACGUGGAUAACCUACCUAUAAGACUGGGAUAACUUCGGGAAACCGGAGCUAAUACCGGAUAAUAUAUUGAACCGCAUGGUUCAAUAGUGAAAGACGGUUUUGCUGUCACUUAUAGAUGGAUCCGCGCCGCAUUAGCUAGUUGGUAAGGUAACGGCUUACCAAGGCAACGAUGCGUAGCCGACCUGAGAGGGUGAUCGGCCACACUGUAACUGAGACACGGUCCAGACUCCUACGGGAGGCAGCAGUAGGGAAUCUUCCGCAAUGGGCGAAAGCCUGACGGAGCAACGCCGCGUGAGUGAUGAAGGUCUUCGGAUCGUAAAACUCUGUUAUUAGGGAAGAACAAAUGUGUAAGUAACUAUGCACGUCUUGACGGUACCUAAUCAGAAAGCCACGGCUAACUACGUG